GGCCUUCCCAAAUGACCGAUCGGUCAUUUUUCCGAAAAGUCUUGGCUCAGCCCAGACCAGGCAGGUGGACGUGUAGCGGCCCUUUUCGAAAGUCCUGGCUCAGCCCGGACCAGGCAGGCGGACGUGUAGCGGCCCUUUUCGAAUAUGUAGGGGGGGAGCAGCUUUCCACGCCAGUUUGACUCACUUUGGUUGGCGUUGGAGAGUGGUGCCUUGAGGGCUCCCCGCACCUGAUCGAAU
Long non-coding RNA from Vigna radiata var. radiata (mung bean), 237 nucleotides. RefSeq lists it as uncharacterized. The record is from RefSeq and is a predicted model, not a curated record. The transcript has 2 exons. Lineage: Eukaryota; Viridiplantae; Streptophyta; Magnoliopsida; Fabales; Fabaceae.